UACGAAGGGUGCAAGCGUUACUCGGAUUUACUGGGCGUAAAGGGUGCGUAGGUGGUUGUUUAAGUCUGCUGUGAAAGCCCCGGGCUCAACCUGGGAAUGGCAGUGGAUACUGGACAGCUAGAGUGCGGUAGAGGGUAGUGGAAUUCCCGGUGUAGCAGUGAAAUGCGUAGAGAUCGGGAGGAACACCAGUGGCGAAGGCGGCUACCUGGACCAGCACUGACACUGAAGCACGAAAGCGUGGGGAGCAAACAGG
Molecule: ribosomal RNA, 253 nt
Filed under: uncultured bacterium
Lineage: Bacteria
Description: partial 16S ribosomal RNA
Rfam family: Bacterial small subunit ribosomal RNA
Source: RNAcentral